This 395-nucleotide ribosomal RNA is filed under the name Turdus plumbeus plumbeus. Its description in RNAcentral is "partial 12S ribosomal RNA". It matches the Rfam family "Bacterial small subunit ribosomal RNA", at positions 794 to 1384 of the family's 1533-position model. The record is from RNAcentral. Lineage: Eukaryota; Metazoa; Chordata; Aves; Passeriformes; Turdidae.
GCUUGGCCCUAAAUCUUGAUGCUCGAUAUUACCUGAGCAUCCGCCCGAGAACUACGAGCACAAACGCUUAAAACUCUAAGGACUUGGCGGUGCUUCAAACCCACCUAGAGGAGCCUGUUCUGUAAUCGAUGAUCCACGAUAUUACCUGACCAUUCCUUGCACGAAACAGCCUAUAUACCGCCGUCGCCAGCCCACCUUUCCUGACAGCUCAACAGUGGACGCAAUAGCCUAACCCGCUAGUACGACAGGUCAAGGUAUAGCCCACGGAAUGGAAGCAAUGGGCUACAUUUUCUAGACUAGAACAUACGGAUAAGGGUAUGAAACUGCCCUUGGAAGGCGGAUUUAGCAGUAAAGAGAGACAAUCGAGCUCUCUUUAAGCCGGCUCUGGAGCACGU